RNAcentral lists this ribosomal RNA (253 nucleotides) under uncultured prokaryote. RNAcentral describes it as "partial 16S ribosomal RNA". It matches the Rfam family "Bacterial small subunit ribosomal RNA", at positions 525 to 777 of the family's 1533-position model. The record is from RNAcentral.
ACGGAGGAUCCAAGCGUUAUCCGGAAUCAUUGGGUUUAAAGGGUCCGUAGGCGGUUUGGUAAGUCAGUGGUGAAAGCCCAUCGCUCAACGGUGGAACGGCCAUUGAUACUGCCAGACUUGAAUUACUGGGAAGUAACUAGAAUAUGUAGUGUAGCGGUGAAAUGCUUAGAGAUUACAUGGAAUACCAAUUGCGAAGGCAGGUUACUACCAGUGGAUUGACGCUGAUGGACGAAAGCGUGGGUAGCGAACAGGA